AUAAUGCGUCUCUUGGCAACUAAAUCGUGUGACAAUAAACGAAUGCUGUGGAAAGAAAAACUACUGUUAAUUAUGUUAGAUAGUUUGGUCUUUGAAGUAUUUUGUCAGCGAAAUUUUGUACAAUAAACGUAUUGUGAAAUCGUAAAACAAAAUGAAGAUUUUCUUUUUCUUGGCACUGUUUAUGGUGAUUGCCACACAACAUGUUGAUGCUGAAUGCAGGGAUAACCUUGGCGAUCCCAUCGCCGAAGGUGAUUAUGCACCUGCUUUAGGUGACCUUUGUUACCAAUGUUCCGGUGACAUGAAGCGACUGACAAGCUGCCCAGAAGGAUUUGUCGCCAAAAAGUAAUGCAUACGAUGGUCACGUUUUCUUUGAGAGAAUUAUAAACUUUUUUGUUGCA
Long non-coding RNA from Hydractinia symbiolongicarpus, 398 nucleotides. RefSeq lists it as uncharacterized. The transcript has 3 exons. NCBI's taxonomy places the organism in Eukaryota, Metazoa, Cnidaria, Hydrozoa, Anthoathecata, Hydractiniidae. The record is from RefSeq and is a predicted model, not a curated record.